RNAcentral lists this ribosomal RNA (556 nucleotides) under uncultured bacterium. RNAcentral describes it as "partial 16S ribosomal RNA". It matches the Rfam family "Bacterial small subunit ribosomal RNA", at positions 355 to 902 of the family's 1533-position model. The record is from RNAcentral.
UGGGGAAUAUUGGACAAUGGGGGGAACCCUGAUCCAGCCAUGCCGCGUGUGUGAAGAAGGCCUUAUGGCUGUAAAGCACUUUAAGCGAGGAGGAGGCUACUAGUAUUAAUACUACUGGAUAGUGGACGUUACUCGCAGAAUAAGCACCGGCUAACUCUGUGCCAGCAGCCGCGGUAAUACAGAGGGUGCGAGCGUUAAUCGGAUUUACUGGGCGUAAAGCGUGCGUAGGCGGCCAUUUAAGUCAAAUGUGAAAUCCCGAGCUUAACUUGGGAAUUGCAUUCGAUACUGGAUGGCUAGAGUAUGGGAGAGGAUGGUAGAAUUCCAGGUGUAGCGGUGAAAUGCGUAGAGAUCUGGAGGAAUACCGAUGGCGAAGGCAGCCAUCUGGCCUAAUACUGACGCUGAGGUACGAAAGCAUGGGGAGCAAACAGGAUUAGAUACCCUGGUAGUCCAUGCCGUAAACGAUGUCUACUAGCCGUUGGGGCCUUUGAGGCUUUAGUGGCGCAGCUAACACGAUAAGUAGACCGCCUGGGGAGUACGGUCGCAAGACUAAAAGCUC